RNAcentral lists this ribosomal RNA (576 nucleotides) under Ustilentyloma graminis. RNAcentral's name for it is "eukaryotic LSU rRNA". It matches the Rfam family "Eukaryotic large subunit ribosomal RNA", at positions 79 to 668 of the family's 3401-position model. The record is from RNAcentral. Lineage: Eukaryota; Fungi; Basidiomycota; Microbotryomycetes; Microbotryales; Ustilentylomataceae.
CCUAGUAGCGGCGAGCGAGCGGGAAGAGCUCAAAUUUAUAAUCUGGCACCUUCGGUGUCCGAGUUGUAAUCUCUAGAAGUGUUUUCCGCGUUGGACCGCACACAAGUCUGUUGGAAUACAGCGGCAUAGUGGUGAAACCCCCGUAUAUGGUGCGGACGCCCAGCGCUUUGUGAUACACUUUCAAUGAGUCGAGUUGUUUGGGAAUGCAGCUCAAAUUGGGUGGUAAAUUCCAUCUAAAGCUAAAUAUUGGCGAGAGACCGAUAGCGAACAAGUACCGUGAGGGAAAGAUGAAAAGCACUUUGGAAAGAGAGUUAACAGUACGUGAAAUUGUUGGAAGGGAAACGCUUGAAGUCAGACUUGCUUGCCGGAGCUUGCUUCGGUUUGCAGGCCAGCAUCAGUUUUCCGGGGUGGAUAAUGACGGUUUGAAGGUAGCAGUCUCGGCUGUGUUAUAGCUUUCCGUUGGAUACAUCCUGGGGGACUGAGGAACGCAGCGUGCUUUUUGCGAAAGACUCGUCUUUUUCACGCUUAGGAUGCUGGUGGAAUGGCUUUAAACGACCCGUCUUGAAACACGGACCA